AACGUAGGACGCAAGCGUUAUCCGGAAUUACUGGGCGUAAAGCGCGUGUAGGUGGUUUUAUAAGUCACUGUUGAAAGCUUCCGGCUAAACUGGGAGAGGUGCGGUGAGACUGUAGAGCUAGAGUUUGGGAGAGGGGUGCGGAAUUCCGGGUGUAGUGGUGAAAUGCGUAGAGAUCCGGAGGAACACCAGAGGCGAAGGCGGCACCCUGGCCUAAUACUGACACUGAGACGCGAAAGCAUGGGGAGCGAACGGG
This 253-nucleotide ribosomal RNA is filed under the name uncultured bacterium. RNAcentral describes it as "partial 16S ribosomal RNA". It matches the Rfam family "Bacterial small subunit ribosomal RNA", at positions 524 to 776 of the family's 1533-position model. The record is from RNAcentral.